AUGCAAUCUGGUUUCAGAGCUCGUCAUGGGUGCACCUCAGCCACGCUCAAGGUCCUAAACAAUAUUUUAACCGCCAUCGAUAAGAAACAAUACUGUGCAGCCGUAUUCAUUGACCUGGCCAAGGAUUUCGACUCUGUCAAUCACCACAUCCUCAUCGACUCGAUAGCCUUGCUUUCUCAAAUGAUUGCCUCGCCUAGUUCACCAACUACUUCUCAGAUAGAGUUCAGUGUGUCAAAUCGGAGGGCCCGUUGUCCGGGCCUCUGGCAGUCUCUAUGGGGGUGCCACAGGGUUCAAUUCUUGGACCGACUCUCUCCUCUGUAUACAUCAAUGGUGUCGCUCUUGCUGCUGGUGAGUCUGAUCCACCUCUACGCAGACGACACCAUUCUGUGUACUUCUGGCCCUUCUUUGGACAUUGUCUUAACAACCCUCCAGACAAGCUUCAAUGCCACACAACUCUCCAUCCGUUGCCUCCAACUGCUCUUAAAUCCAAGUAAAACUAAAUGCAUGCUCUUCAACCGAUCGCUGCCUGCACCUGCCCGCCCGUCCAACAUCACUACUCUGGACGGUUCUGACUUAGAAUAUGUGGACAACGACAAAUACCUCGGUGUCUGGUUAGACUGUAAACUCUCCUUCCAGACUCACAUCAAACAUCUCCAAUCCAAAGUUAAAUCUAGAAUUGGCUUCCUAUUUCGCAACAAAGCAUCCUUCACUCAUGCUGCCAAACAUACCCUUGUAAAACUGACCAUCCUACCGAUCCUCGACUUCGGCGAUGUCAUUUACAAAAUAGCCUCCAAUACCCUACUCAAUAAAUUGGAUGCAGUCUAUCACAGUGCCAUCCGUUUUGUCACCAAAGCCCCAUAUACUAACCACCACUGCGACCUGUGUGCUCUCGUUGGCUGGCCCUCGCUUCAUACUUGUCGCCAAACCCACUGGCUCCAGGUCAUCUACAAGACCCUGCUAGGUAAAGUUCCCCCUUAUCUUAGCUUGCUGGUCACCAGAGCAGCACCCACCUGUAGCACGCGUCCCAGCAGGUAUAUCUCUCUGGUCACCCCCAAAACCAAUUCUUCCUUUGGCCGCCUCUCCUUCCAGUUCUCUGCUGCCAAUGACUGGAACGAACUUCAAAAAUCUCUGAAACUGGAAAAACUUAUCUCCCUCACUAGCUUUAAGCACCAGCUGUCAGAGCAGCUCACAGAUUACUGCACCUGUACAUAG
RNAcentral lists this long non-coding RNA (1212 nucleotides) under Oncorhynchus mykiss (rainbow trout). RNAcentral's name for it is "lncRNA (ENSOMYG00000065538.1)". Lineage: Eukaryota; Metazoa; Chordata; Actinopteri; Salmoniformes; Salmonidae. The record is from RNAcentral.